Molecule: unclassified non-coding RNA, 83 nt
Filed under: Gillisia sp. Hel1_33_143
Lineage: Bacteria; Pseudomonadati; Bacteroidota; Flavobacteriia; Flavobacteriales; Flavobacteriaceae
Description: Flavo-1 RNA
Source: RNAcentral
AAGUAGCAUUUGGGUUAGGGAUAGCAGCGGUAGCUCCCAAGACCUUUUGGGAUUGGGACUACAAGCGAAUAGCCCGGCCGCUC